This is a long non-coding RNA of Lolium rigidum, 1265 nucleotides long. RefSeq lists it as uncharacterized. NCBI's taxonomy places the organism in Eukaryota, Viridiplantae, Streptophyta, Magnoliopsida, Poales, Poaceae. The transcript has 3 exons. The record is from RefSeq and is a predicted model, not a curated record.
CUCUUCCGAUCAGACAACAUAAGGGAGGGUCCAUGGUUGCAAGGGAGUUCUCAUUUGGGAAUUUUCUUUUUGUUUCAUGUUGGCUGAUCUGGCCACAGGAAUUCAGGAAGACCAAGAAGAGGCAAAAUAUAGAUGCCAAGUUUAUAAAUUGAGAAGGGAUUCUCAAACAGCCGUGAAAAUCAUGGACCAUGCAUAGAGCUAAUAGGAAAUUAGACCAAGUUAGGGAUAAUAUGAAUUUCCAUCCUCCAUUUAGGUAAAAGAAUAUGGUAUUUGAUUUGGUUUUAUUUCCAUAUUUUCGGAUGGAGUUACUACUUUUCUUCCUAUUUUAGUCAGUACAUUUCCUGAUGAUACCAUUCCUUUAAACAAACUGCUGGUUCCUUUAUUUGGUCAUAAUUUCUCUGGCAUGCUCUAUGAUUUUGAUUCUUCAAUCUUGAUGCGUUCGUGCGUCCACUUAUCUAGGAGAAUAAAGUAGCAAGGGUCCUCAUUACUAACAUGCAGUUUAAUUGUAGCUUUAUCUACUGUUUUGGUGGAAACACGAAAGCAAGGAUUGGUAAGUAAUCUUCAAAUUGUACAGGAAGAUUGGUCUUCUCUUAUAAUGCGAUGGAAAUACUAGCUAAACUAUCUCUCCUUUGUAGGACAAUUUAAGCUGCUAAGAUGCAUAUGCCAUGUGUUACGAAAUUUAUUGGGGUCAUUUGCAUUGCAAAAGCUAGGACUGUUUGUGCAUAUAAGCAACCACGGAUAUUACUCACGUUUUUACUAGGUAUCUCUUCCAAGGCUGAUUUUCCUAUCUCGAGUUCGUCUUUCGUUUUGCUUCUCGGAUCGACCUCCCUUGAGCUUUCGGGGUUCAGUCUGUGCUCAGCUAUAUCUAUUUCUCAUGUCUUUCUGGGUGUCAGGGAUACAUAAUACAGAAGAACGCCGGCCAGAAGUGACAGCGAUCUUCAUGGCUGAUGUUCAGCAAAUUUCACGGCAGUGUGCACGGCUCCAAUGUGCUUAUAUAAUAGAGUUGUCUCUAGAAUACACACAGUUCCGGCUGACUCCGUGAUUAACUCAGGUACAGACAAACUAGCUACAUCUAGAGGUAUGAGUGUUCACAAGUUCUCUGACGAAAAGAUUGUAGUAUCCUUCCCCUAUCACAAAGAAGCACUGCGAGCCAUGAAACUAGGUGGACCAGAGACGGUCCUGCAGAUUAAUGGUUGCCCUUAACGCUUUACCAUGGGAGAUGAACUGGUUCACCUAAGAAGCAUAUUUAUUGUUCAGAGGGUACA